UUGUGUGGAAUUCUUGCACCACCUGGGAUUAAGGAAAGCUGGAAAUGAAGGAGGGGUGAUGAGAACAGAAUUUUCAUCUUGCAAGUUGCAAUAAUAACUAAUCAACUAGAGAUGCACCUUUAGGUGCUACGAUUCUCUGUGCACUUGGUCAGACGUUGGCCAAUGAGCUAUACCAUCCAAUGCGUACAUACCUUCUCAAAAGCUGGUCAUGUCUAAGGCUCUAAUAUUCACAGCCUAAGAAGUAAGAUCUAAGGUUGCAUUCAACUUCCCUAAACCUUUCUUGUUCACGAAAAAAUGAUGAUAGGAAAAAAUUGCAGAUUAGCCAUAACAUGAGCAACUUGGUGAUAACAUUCACAAGGAAUUCCAAAGGGGCAUCACCCUUGUACAAAGGCAAAUAGAAAGACAAAGCAAUAUAGAAAACCCUUACAAUCAAAACAAAAAGUGACACAGCCGGGACUCCAUAUAUGAGGAUGUAUAAAUGCAUAACGAGGUUCAUAUUUUGGUUAAUGUACAUGUUACUAUAUAUCUGUUGUGUGAAGAUAUGUGUCUACAUACAUGCGUUGCAAAGAGCAAACAAUAAUGUUUCUUUCCCCAAAAGAUAUUUUGACAAAGUAGAAGCACAUUUGAUAGCUAUGUCUCAGACCUACGGUUCUAACACUUACAAAAUUAGAAAUGUCGAAAUCAAUAAUGAUGUACAAACUAUGCAGUUUGGAAAAUAUCCUUUCAUGUCAGUGUUAAACCAUGUACAUCAACACAAGUCCACUAAAUUUCCAUUCUUCCUCCAAUAAGUUCUUUCAACAUUGAUUCACCAUCAUUCAAUCUUUCUUUCUUUUUUUAUGGCAACCAAAUCUGUCUCAAUACCCUGUCGCAACUUAACCCCAAAUAGGAAUACAUCAUUUAAGUGGAAGCGACCCAAUCGACCCUCUCCAUCCACCAAGAAAACACCGGCAGUGAUCUUCAAUGUUGUCCCUUCCUUGUUGAGUAUUCUACUAUUGUCCCUUCAUAUCUACUCCCACAUGACUUCAUCUUUAACUCUGCCUUCCCCUGAAAUGCUACUUAUUCAUCCCAAGAUUCUUACUUCCACAAUUGAUGGCUAUCCUUGGAUAUUUUCAAUGCCACCUUGAACCGUCAAGAAGGCACAAUUUUGAAGUACAUCCCUUGGUAAAGUGUUACAGCACUAGUGUAUAAUAGGUCAUAAAGUAGUCAGUUUUCUGCGAGGGAGUAUCCAGUAAUUGCAAUAUUAAGUUUUUUAGAAACAUAUGUCACACUCUGCCAAUAUAGAAACCAGCACAUUUUCUUGAUUUAAUAUGAAUUAAUCAAUAAGAGUGAGAUUUCCAUUUAAAGAUUCUACUCCUACAGCUUUUUAUUUUCUUUUUGCAUGGUGGUGAGGGAGCAGUUGACAUGGUUCUAAAUAUUUCCAGUGCGCCUCAGAAACCAAGCAAUUCCAACGGUUCAUCUAUUAACUUAUUGAGUAUUUCGUUACAGCGGCCACAUUGUGUUGCAAUGUUGCAAGCUAGCACUGCCAUUAAAUUAAUUAUAUUUUGCUUAAUCCGUUCUACUUAUAUUGGUUUCAGUCCUUCAGAGCUAUACAUUAUUUAACCAUCAAACCUAAUAAUGCAAUUUCUCAUUUCUUUUUUGUUCCUUAUAAAUAAUCCUUUUCCUUAACCAGCAUAGAAGUUGUAUCAAUUCUGUUUUCUCCAAGCAGUUUAAAGUGAAUAAAUUGCUUCCAUUGCCACUACUAAAAUUGCUUCAGAUAUUCAAAAAUUUAUUCCCCUUCCCUUUAUCUUCUCUUCUUGGAUAAUACGUGAUGAGCUAUCUGAUGCAUCCUUAAGCAAUGAAAUACAAUGCCAAAGAAAAACCUGGGAAAAAAAGUUUAUCACAGUUCAAUGCAACUCCAUAUGAAAUAGUCAAAAUUACCCCUAAUCAACAACUUGAACAUAACCGAAAACUGACACAAAAUAAGUGUAAGGAAAACCCCAAUAGACUGGAUGGCAGCAACAACUUUCUCUCGAGUGUUUUAGUCCAAUUUAACAAACUUAUUCACUGGUAGAGAGCCCCUUAAGUAAAAACAACUUAUCCUCUGUUCCACCUAUUAUUUUCAUGAGUUCUUAAGAUCUUGAGCCUCAACUACCAUCAAACUCCAUGUCGAACCAAGAAACCACAGCGGCCAUCAAAUGCCUGAGCUCAAGGAAUUGGCUUGCAAUUAAGUGAUUUUCCUUGUUUUCACGCUACACUUCACUAAACGAGCUCAUUUAAAAUCCUUAUUACCGUUUGAUGAAACCACAAGGAAUUAGUUACAUUACGCCAAAUCAACAACUCGAUCAUAACCAAAACAUGACACAAAAUAGGAGGAAGGAAAAACCCAAUAAACUGAAUGCCUGAAUGUGAUGAAUUGGCUUGCAAGUAAAUGAUUCGCCUUGUUUUUAAGGUUACGCUUGACCGUAUGAGCUCAUUCAUAUUCCAUAUUACCGUUCGAUGAAACCCCAACGAAUUAGUCACAUUACCCCAAAUCAACAACUUGAACACAACCAAACAAUGACACGAAAUAGGCGGAAAAAACCAAUAAACUGGUGGCGGCUACAACUUUUUCCACGAGAGUAUUAAUUCAAUUUAAGAAAUUAAAUUCACCGGUCACUAUAAACGAAGCGAAAACAGCAGAAGAUAGAGUGCAAAGGUUGGAGAUUUGCUAAGAUUUUACCUGACAAAGAUUUACAUCUGAAGCCCAAUAAACCUUUUUUGGUUUCUGCAGUCCUCGCAUAUUUACAAAUACAGAUUUGAUUGUUGUGAAUAUAUAUGUAUUUUUCAAAUCUAAUACUUAUCGAUGAAGCAAGCAACCGCAACAAUCAGUCAAAGCAGGAAAUUAACCGCUAGAUUUUUCCAUUCUAAGACGAUCUAACAGGUGGAAAACGCGAUGACGGAGAUCAAUCGAUGACGAAAACAAAUAUAUAUAUAUAUGUACACGAGGGGAUCAAAGUAAACCCUAGUCAAGAAACCCUAGGGUUCUCUCCCUCUGUUUCGCCUUUGUUUUCAUUAUCUGUCUAAUGCUAAGACCCUACGAA
Molecule: long non-coding RNA, 3059 nt
Organism: Rhododendron vialii
Lineage: Eukaryota; Viridiplantae; Streptophyta; Magnoliopsida; Ericales; Ericaceae
Exons: 2
Source: RefSeq, a predicted model, not a curated record